This 5336-nucleotide long non-coding RNA is filed under the name Lotus japonicus. RNAcentral's name for it is "long non-coding RNA (LJAP_LNC001622)". Lineage: Eukaryota; Viridiplantae; Streptophyta; Magnoliopsida; Fabales; Fabaceae. The record is from RNAcentral.
UUUGAGAAAUAGGGGUCUCUCCCCAUCUUCAUUAGGAAGCGCUGCCCCACUUUCUUCUUACAUUAGGCACUGCCCCCUUUGAUGUACUACUUAUGAUGGUCGCUGCCCCUAAUCAGCUUCCAGUGCUACUGUUACUGUUGAUGUCACCUCCAUUUAUCCUCCACUGUACAAUUGUGGCUGCCAUGGCUCGUUUGCUACCAUCACUUCAGUUGUUUCCUGGCCGCUGCUAUAUAUAGCCCAUGUUGCCAUGGUCUCCAUAUCAUGUCGCAUAUGAGGCCAUUGUCCACGAAAGUGGCUAUUAAUGAUCACUGCCACAAGAUAACAAGCAAGAAACAGAGUUGCAAAUGUUGAUAAAUUGGCAAGAUAACAAUCAUGAAGCAAAGUUGAAAUUGUUGACUUGAUAAAGAUUGUUGAGCAAGUAGAUGACAUCAUGCAACAGAGAAGGAUAAGGAUAAUAGUAAAGCCACUUUUGUGGCUGAUCAUCACGUGAAUGGAAGGGCAGCCCAGCCUAUAAAUAGAGCACCAUAGUUUCAUUCAAUUCAUCCCAGCAAGCAUUCGAGUAUUGCUUCAAAGAGAGGAAAAAUUCAGAGAGAUAGAGAAAUUAGUUUUCUUUGUAUUAUCUUGUGAGGUUCUUCUAGUAUGAGUUCUCCUAUUUCAAGAGAGAGUGUAAUUUGUUCUCUCCUUGUAUUUAGAGAGAGGUGUUGUAAUUUCUCUCCUUGUAUUUUGAGAAAUAGGGGUCUCUCCCCAUCUUCAUUAGGAAGCGCUGCCCCACUUUCUUCUUACAUUAGGCACUGCCCCCUUUGAUGUACUACUUAUGAUGGUCGCUGCCCCUAAUCAGCUUCCAGUGCUACUGUUACUGUUGAUGUCACCUCCAUUUAUCCUCCACUGUACAAUUGUGGCUGCCAUGGCUCGUUUGCUACCAUCACUUCAGUUGUUUCCUGGCCGCUGCUAUAUAUAGCCCAUGUUGCCAUGGUCUCCAUAUCAUGUCGCAUAUGAGGCCAUUGUCCACGAAAGUGGCUAUUAAUGAUCACUGCCACAAGAUAACAAGCAAGAAACAGAGUUGCAAAUGUUGAUAAAUUGGCAAGAUAACAAUCAUGAAGCAAAGUUGAAAUUGUUGACUUGAUAAAGAUUGUUGAGCAAGUAGAUGACAUCAUGCAACAGAGAAGGAUAAGGAUAAUAGUAAAGCCACUUUUGUGGCUGAUCAUCACGUGAAUGGAAGGGCAGCCCAGCCUAUAAAUAGAGCACCAUAGUUUCAUUCAAUUCAUCCCAGCAAGCAUUCGAGUAUUGCUUCAAAGAGAGGAAAAAUUCAGAGAGAUAGAGAAAUUAGUUUUCUUUGUAUUAUCUUGUGAGGUUCUUCUAGUAUGAGUUCUCCUAUUUCAAGAGAGAGUGUAAUUUGUUCUCUCCUUGUAUUUAGAGAGAGGUGUUGUAAUUUCUUCCACUUAGUGAAAAGCUUUUCUACCGGUGCGUGUGGUUUUUCCCUUAUCUGUUGAGGGUUUUCCACGUAAAUAUUGUGUGUCAAUUUCCUCAUCACUCAUCUCUUAUUUUAGUUGUGUUAUUAUCCUGCUACUCUGGUACCCAACAGUGGUAUCAGAGCUGUUGGUGCCGGUCCUUAUUCCGCUGCGGUGUACGGUUACUAUUUACACGUGAGGUUGUAUACUUUUGCAGUGAUUGUUAACGUAUACUAGAUCCAUUCUAGUGUGCGGUAAAAAUAUACAAUACUGCUCACGUAUACUGUGCUAUUCACAGUGAAAUUGUGUAAACCGAUUCCGUGAAAAAAAAAAUGGCAGCAAAAUUUGAGAUCCCGAAAUUCAGUGGGAGUAACUUCUCUCUGUGAAAAUUGAAGAUAAAGGCGAUCCUGAGGAAGGAUAAUUGCUUACCAGCAAUUGAUGGUAGACCUGCUGAUAUAACUAAUGAUAAGUGGAAAGAGAUGGACGACAAUGUUGUGGCCAAUCUGCACCUAGCAGUGGUAGAUUCGGUUUUGUCUAGUAUUGCUGAAAAGAAAACAGCAAAGGAGAUCUGAGAUACUCUUAUCCAAUUGUACGAGGUCAAGUCACUUUACAACAGAAUUUUCUUAAAGAGGAGACUCUACACUCUUCGAAUGAGUGAAUCCACUUCGAUGCCGGAUCACAUCAACAAUUUGAACACAAUGUUUGCUCAACUAUCUGCAUCAGAUUUCACAAUUGGGGAAAAUGAACGUGCAGAGGUUCUUCUUCAGAGUUUACCAGAUUCAUAUGAUCAAUUCGUCAUCAAUAUUACAAACAAUAAUAUUGUUGACCGUCUAUCCUUUAAUGAUGUUGUCGGAGCUAUUCUUGGAGAAGAGUCCAGGCGAAAAAAUAAGGAAGAUCGUCCGGAGAGCUCAAAACAAAUGGAAGCUUUGACUGACGAGAGGCAGAUCAACAGAGCGUGGCCCCAGUGGGAGUCAGAACCAUGAUAGAUCAAAAUCUCGAAGAAAGACAAAUCUCAAAUGCUACAAUUGUGGCAAGAGAGGGCACUUGAAGAAAGAUUGUUGGGCCAACAAGAAGAGUGGUGAAAAAUCUUCUGAAGCAAGUACAUCUCAAGGAUGUGUUGCUAGUACCUCUGAUGAUGGGGAAGUCCUAUACAGCGAAGCAGCAGUUAGUACUAAAGGCAAAAAUUGUCUCAUUGAUGUUUGGAUAGUAGAUUCAGGAGCAACAUGGUACAUGACCCCACGACGAGAUUGGUUUUGCACUUAUGAGCAUGUCUCAGAAGGAAACGUGUUCAUGGGAAACGAUCAUGCCUUGGAAAUUGUUGGAAUUGGUACUGUCAAAAUAAAAAUGUAUGAUGGUACCAUUCGCACACUUCAAGAGGUACGACAUGUGAAAGGGUUAGCAAAGAAUUUGUUGUCUGUUGGGCAACUAGAUGACCUCGGAUACAAGUACGAUAUUCAAGGUGGGAUCUUGAAAGUGGUGAAAGGUUCACUAGUAGUAAUGAAAGCAAAGAAGGUCGCUGCAAAUCUAUACAUGCUUUUGGGAGAUACGUGGCAAAUGACAGAUGCAUCAGUUGCAGUUGGAAGCCAAGAAGAAACAACGAUGAUGUGGCACCGCAGAUUAGGCCAUAUGUCGGAACGAGGCUUGAAAGUUCUUGCAGAACGUAAUCUCAUACCUGGGCUCAAGUCAGUAAGUUUACCUUUCUGUGAGCAUUGUGUGAUAAGUAAGCAGCAAAGACUAAAGUUUGCUAAGUCAACUACUAGAAGCAAACACAUGCUGGACUUGAUUCAUUCUGAUGUGUGAGAGUCAUCGGAAAUGUCCAUAGGAGGAGCAAAGUAUUUUGUAUCAUUCAUUGAUGAUUACUCCAGGAGAUUGUGGGUGUACCCGAUCAAGAAGAAGUCAGGUGUGUAUUCAGUAUUCAAGGAGUUUAAAGCACAAGUAGAACUUGAAACUGGGAAAAGAAUUAAGUGUUUGAGGACAGAUAAUGGAGGAGAAUAUACAGAUGGUGAUUUCCUGGCAUUCUACAAGCAAGAAGGUAUUACGAGGCAAUUUACAGUUGCUCAUUCACCUCAGUAGAAUGGAGUAGCAGAUCAUGAUGCAUAUUGUCUUCUCUCGGAAGAUGGAGAACCAUCAACCUUUCAGGAGGCGUUAAAUGGUUCAGAUGCUUCUCUGUGGAUGGCAGCAAUGCAGGAGGAGAUUGAAGCCUUACAUAGAAAUAAUACUUGGGAACUUGUUGAACUUCCUAAAGGUCGGAAAGCCAUUGGCAACAAAUGGGUGUUCAAAAUCAAACGAGAUGGCAACGAUCAGGUGGAACGCUAUCGUGCAAGACUGGUGGUCAAAGGAUAUGCUCAGAAAGAAGGUAUUGAUUUCAAUGAGAUAUUCUCUCCAGUAGUAAGACUUACCACUAUUAGAGCAGUCCUGGCAAUGUGUGCUGCAUUUGAUCUACAUCUUGAGCAGCUUGAUGUAAAGACUGCAUUUCUUCAUGGAGAACUUGAAGAAGAAAUCUAUAUGCUCCAACCAGAAGGCUUUGAAGAUCAUGAAAAAGAAAACUUAGUUUGCAGGUUGACCAAAUCUCUGUACGGUCUAAAGCAGGCGCCGAGGUGUUGGUACAAAAGAUUUGAUUCUUUCAUCAUGAUCCUUGGAUACAACAGGCUGAGUUCAGACCAUUGUACGUACUACAAAAGGUUUGAUGAUAAUGAUUUCAUCAUUUUGCUGUUGUAUGUGGAUGACAUGUUGGUGGUAGGCCCCAACAAAGAUCAAGUCCAAGAAUUGAACGCACAGUUGGCUAGGGAGUUUGAUAUGAAAGACAUGGGACCCGCAAACAAGAUUUUAGGGAUGCAAAUUCACCAAGACAGAAAAGACAGGAGUAUUUGGCUUUCUCAGAAGAAUUAUCUUCAGAAAGUCUUGCGGCGCUUCAACAUGCAAGACUGUAACCCAAUCUCAACCCCACUUCCUGUUAAUUACAAAUUAUCCUCAAGUAUGAUUCCUAGCAGUGAAGCAGAGAGGAUGAAGAUGUCUCGAGUACCGUAUGCAUCAGCGGUGGGAAGCCUUAUGUACGCUAUGAUAUGCACUAGACCAGAUAUUGCUCAAGCAAUUGGGACGGUCAGUCGGUUUAUGGCAGAUCCAGGCAAAGAGCACUGGAAUGCUGUGAAGACGAUUCUGAGACACAUCAAAGGAACCUCAGGUGCUGUGUUAUGUUUUGGGGGAUCAGAAUUCAAUAUCAGAGGCUAUGUUGAUUCAGACUUUGUAGGUGAUCUUGAUAAAAGAAAAUUUACUACUGGCUAUGUGUUCACACUUGCAGGAGGAGCAGUAAGCUGGUUAUCCAAAUUACAGACUGUUGUAGCUUUGUCUACUACAGAAGCAGAAUACAUGGCAGCUACUCAAGCAUGCAAGGAAGCUAUUUGGAUUCAAAGGUUGUUGGAAGAGCUCGGGCACAAGCAACGAAAGAUUAUUGUGUAUUGUGACAGUCAGAGCGCCUUGCACAUUGCAAGGAAUCCAGUUUUUCAUUCUAGGACAAAGCACAUAGGAGUUCAGUACCAUUUUGUCAGAGAGGUAGUAGAAGAAGGAAGCGUGGAUAUGCAGAAAAUUCACACCAAAGAUAACCUAGCGGAUGUAAUGACGAAGCCAAUCAACUCUGAUAAGUUUACUUGGUGUAGGUCCUCUUAUGGCCUAUUAAAAAUGUAAGCAACAUGGAACUGGCAAGGUAGAGAAAUUUUGCAAACUCACAAAAGUGACUUUAAGUGGGAGAUUGUCAACGAAAGUGGCUAUUAAUGAUCACUGCCACAAGAUAACAAGCAAGAAACAGAGUUGCAAAUGUUGACAAAUUGGCAAGAUAACAAUCAUGAAGCAAAGUUGAAAUUGUUGACUUGAUAAAGAUUGUUGAGCAAGUAG